This 72-nucleotide transfer RNA is filed under the name Malassezia sympodialis ATCC 42132. RNAcentral's name for it is "tRNA-His (GTG) (tRNA-His-GTG-1-1, tRNA-His-GTG-1-2)". It matches the Rfam family "tRNA". From Rfam's summary of the family: Transfer RNA (tRNA) molecules are approximately 80 nucleotides in length. Their secondary structure includes four short double-helical elements and three loops (D, anti-codon, and T loops). Lineage: Eukaryota; Fungi; Basidiomycota; Malasseziomycetes; Malasseziales; Malasseziaceae. The record is from RNAcentral.
GUGGCUAUAGUAUAGUGGUCAGUACGUAUCGUUGUGGCCGAUGAGACGCCGGUUCGAUUCCGGCUAGCCACA